This is a long non-coding RNA of Papaver somniferum (opium poppy), 1296 nucleotides long. RefSeq lists it as uncharacterized. Lineage: Eukaryota; Viridiplantae; Streptophyta; Magnoliopsida; Ranunculales; Papaveraceae. The record is from RefSeq and is a predicted model, not a curated record. The transcript is spliced from 3 exons.
CCUCUUCUUCGUUAUCAACAAGAACCUGUUACGGCGGCGCACAACCAGAAUCUUCUCCUGCCUUUCUCCAUUCAAUUAACCAUCUUCUUCACUAUCAACACCACCACCUCCACUAUUAUCUUCAGUACCACCACCGUCACCAAUGGGUUAUAAAUGGAAUAUGGGUUUUGUGUCUCGUAUACCAUGGAAGGACGGAGGAGGGAAAAUGGUUGAAAUAAGGUUUCUAUAAUGUCAGGUGAGAUUGUCAUUCAGAUAAUUUCUUCUGGUUUAGGUUUGCCUUAGAAGAUUGGGGUUGGUUAAAUCUGAGGAUGUGCAAGAGGUUAUGACCGACUGAUCUGGACCUAACAGGAGAUGCAUAAAAACAUAGAAUGCUAAAGCUUCAGAAUACUUUACACACGAGUCUUCCUAGAUUUGGUAUGCACAGAGAAAGCAAGUGAUAUAAUUGGAUCAAAUUUUAGUUGAAAAGGCUUAGUGAUAGUGCUUGUGAUGCUCAUCACAUAAUGGAUGAAUUCUCUUACGGAACUCCUUGAGAUCAAGUUAUAAUUGAAAAAGCUUAAAGGCAGUGCAUGCAAUGUUGAUGACAUUAUGGAUGAGUUCUCCUAUGAAACCUCUUGCGAUUAGACCUGUAUAAACAGCUUAAGAACUUGAAGUCCUGAAGUAUAUGUGAUCUUGCGACUCUUGCCGCAUCUUGCAAUUUCGUUUCAAGCUAGCAAAAGGAUUUGUAGAUAACAUAAAACUGGAGGUUUCAACAGUAACAUAGUUUUCUGAUUUCUAUAAUGGCUUCUCCUCUCAUCAGUGAAUGACAGAUAAAAAGAAUGACCAUAUGAAAUCCCUACUCCAAUUAUAGGAGUCCAGUUCGUCACGGUGAGGGCUCAAAUCCUUGGUGAAGGGUCUUGUAUCGAAGAGCUCAGUUUAUGAAGACCUAACUGCCUUUACAAAGUUGGAUCUUUGUUAAUUUGUCAGUCUUGUCAGAAUUCACUGGUUGGAAUUUUUUGAGGCCGCUGAUUCCGUUGAAGAAGUCAGUUAUUUGCAUAACCAUUUGCUGUUUAAAGCAUGUUUUCUAUCAGGCCUAUUUUCAGUAUUUAAAGAAUAAACACUGUAAUAUUGUUCUGCAUACGAGGGGCACAAUUUCUAGAUUUCUUUUUCUAUAGCUUUUCAGAGUUGUUAGAGGCACUGAUCUGAUAGUACUGUUGUUCAAUCUUCCCCUUGAAUGACUUUAAAUUAAGCAACACUGUUGUAAUUUACUGUAUUACGAUUAGGCUUUCUAAUCAAUGUCUACCUGCGGGUUUUAGUUUU